UCGAAUGAGUCAAAAGUAUACAACUUUCCCUUGGUUCCUCUAUCAAAAACACUUGCAAAGUGUCACAAUUUCUGAUCCUAAGUUCCACCAUUUCUAGCUAUCAAAUCAAAAGGUCUCACACCAUGGUGAUCUGUGCCUUCUUCUCUCUCCCUUUACCUUUUGCUGUUGCCUGAGAAGGAAACAAGGCGAAGACAAAAUCAGGGUUUACUGAAAGCGAAGAAUCUAAAACCGAUCUUAUUAAAUUGAAAUAUCAAUCAUUUCCUAAUCACGCAAAUCUUUACCUAAGUUGAACAAAGCCUAGGAAACAACAAUACCAACACACUAAAGAUAUGACAAGCAGGAAACACAAACACCUGACUCUGAUUUCAGAAACAAUAAUGUUGUGGAGGUGUUCUGUAUGAGAUCCUCAGAUCCAUUUAUAUACAAACAGAUACAAGCAUUGCAGACGCUCUAAACCACAUCAACCAAUCAAGUACCACGCCAAAAUGACAUUGUUGAAGUAAUUUAUUGGUUCGAAUGGCCAAACUUAC
RNAcentral lists this long non-coding RNA (530 nucleotides) under Brassica napus (rape). RNAcentral describes it as "long non-coding RNA (BNAP_LNC015134)". The record is from RNAcentral. Lineage: Eukaryota; Viridiplantae; Streptophyta; Magnoliopsida; Brassicales; Brassicaceae.